Molecule: unclassified non-coding RNA, 1044 nt
Filed under: Leishmania donovani
Lineage: Eukaryota; Euglenozoa; Kinetoplastea; Trypanosomatida; Trypanosomatidae
Description: gene:unknown
Source: RNAcentral
CGCGAACGACGACCGCUGGCUCUGGCGCUGGUUGUGGCGCACACACGCACACGCGCCAACGCAACGUGUUUCUCCCUAUCGAGCCCCUCUCCUUUCCGCGCCAUCCGUACGCUCGAAUCCGCGCCCAGCAGGACAGCGACGGUGGAAGCGCACUGGCUCGGCACGGACGCGACAGAGAAGCGGGACAAAUCUUCUUCUGCUGCCUUCUCAAAGCCGUAGGCUGACAAGGGCCAGUCGUGGGACUUUAAGGCUGUAAAGCGCAACCUGCGCGUGGGCCAUACGGGGACGAUAGCGUGGCUCGACGACGUGCUCGGCAUGCCCAUGAAGGGAUGCCGCGACAGCAGUGUGCUGCAGCUGAUGGAAAGUGGGCAGUGGAGGGUGCACCACCACGUGCUGUCAAGGACAAUUCCGAACGGUGAGGGCUGGGGGGGGGGAGGAGCUGAACGAGGGGGACACACCCUUGAAUGGAAAGUAAGGCGACUCGCUUCUGGCGGAGGGAGCUGGGCGACGCUGUUUGUCACGAUGGCGGCACACCGCUGGGCUCUUCCCCAUUUUCCUCUCCUCCUACACGAGCGUGGCCGAGGAGUAUGCUAGCUAUAUAUAUAUAUAUAUAUAUAUGCGUGUAUGUCGCCGAUGCGCAUUAGCGGCCCCCUUUGCCGCUCCUGUUGGAGAAAGCUAAGUCGCCUCUCUUCUCCCAACUUGCGGCGCUGCGAAGAAGAAAACACACGACAUUGCAUUUCAUCACGCUCAAGGUCUAGCGAUAGGCUUACCUUCGGCCGUGCGACGCGGGCUUUCGUUUAUUUCUGUGCUCCUUGGCGCGCCCGGUGGAGGGUCUGCGCAUGCACGCAUGCGCCCUUCCAGACAGGCGGACACAGCAGAGCGAAGUGAAACAAACUACGAUGCCCGUGCGCCCCGCCGUCCUCUGUGAAGAUCACACAGUCUUCACCUUCUAUGUACGUUCUCCUUUUGCAUCCAUCUUCUCUCUGCCCACAUACAUUUCUCUCUCACCCUUUGGUGCUUCUCUUUCCCACCCAACCCAUCCAG